ACAGAGGAGUAUGUCCAUGCACUUAAACACUUAAACAGGAAAGUGACCAUGUAAAAGUGCAAUGUGUUUGAGAAGGUGGGUCCACCAUACUUUAGUGCUGGUGCACCAAAGUAAAAACGUUUUAAUCCUCAUCUUUGGUUUUUGUGUUCUAGAUCCAGCGUCUGGUGUUCUGAUUUGGCUUUCGACACACUGCGAGGCAGCGAUCACACCAUCGGCUUUGAGGACAUCCUCGGCUAUCCAGCUCAAAGUGAAAUGAUCCGAAAGCCACACCUGAAGGUGGAAUACAAACUGGGAUUGUUAGGAAAGAUGCAGGAAUAAGACCCUCUGAAAUAUUUAGGUUUCUGUUCCUAAUUAGGUUUAGUAAUUCAUUCCAAAACACACCACAGAAAAUCUCUUACUGGAACAUAUAGUCUUGACAAACAGUGGGUCUGAUUACUGUGUGCAUCUAUGUGUUAAUGAUUGUAAAGCAGCCAUUUAGACACUUUUAUGUGGGGAGUGAUUUUUUCUAUUCUCUGUGCUAAUGCUUUACAGAUAAUUUUGACGUCUGCAUUGAUCAGUGAGAUGGGACGAUAGCUGGAAGGAGUUGAGGGAUCUUUCUCUGGUUUGAGAAGAAGGAUUAUAUUUGCUGAAUUCAUGUUUGGUGGAAGUAACUGAUUUUCCUUUAUAAAUGUAACCAUUUUAUAAAAAGUUUCUGCUAGCUGUUCCCAGAAUUCUUUGUAAAACUCAGCGGGAAAGCCAUCCGGCCCCGGAGCUUUGUUGUUCGGCAUAAGCAGCAGAGCAUCAUGAAGUUCAGAUGAUGAGAGCGGCGAGUCUAAGUCUUUGAUUUGAUCUUCAGUUAAUCUGGGAAGGUUUACAUUAUUAAGAAAUGAAUUGAUGCUUUGCUCUGAUGGAUUGAUCUCUGAGGUGUAUAAGUUCUUAUAAAAAUCUUUAAAAGUUUCAUUAAUUUUGAUCGGGUCAUGAGUGACAUUUCCUGACUCAUCAGUAAUAGAUGUUAUUGUGGAUUUUUCUUUAUUAAUUUUAAGCUGAUUAGCUAAAAAUUUGCCAGAUUUAUUAGAGUUUUCAAAUCUUUCUAGUCUAAGUCUUUGUAUUUGGAAUUGUGUUUGUUUGUUAAUUAUGUCGUUUAACUGAAGCCUUAGUUUUUUUAAAUCUCCCAGAAUCUGUUCUUCUGCAGAAGCAGCAUAAGCUGUCUCCAUUAUUUUUAUUUUAUUUU
Molecule: long non-coding RNA, 1210 nt
Organism: Oryzias melastigma (Indian medaka)
Lineage: Eukaryota; Metazoa; Chordata; Actinopteri; Beloniformes; Adrianichthyidae
Exons: 2
Source: RefSeq, a predicted model, not a curated record